This 434-nucleotide ribosomal RNA is filed under the name uncultured Roseburia sp. Its description in RNAcentral is "partial 16S ribosomal RNA". It matches the Rfam family "Bacterial small subunit ribosomal RNA", at positions 341 to 792 of the family's 1533-position model. Lineage: Bacteria; Bacillati; Bacillota; Clostridia; Lachnospirales; Lachnospiraceae. The record is from RNAcentral.
ACGGAAGGCAGCAGUGGGGAAUAUUGCACAAUGGGCGAAAGCCUGAUGCAGCGACGCCGCGUGAGUGAUGAAGUAUUUCGGUAUGUAAAGCUCUAUCAGCAGGGAAGAUAAUGACGGUACCUGACUAAGAAGCACCGGCUAAAUACGUGCCAGCAGCCGCGGUAAUCCGUAUGGUGCAAGCGUUAUCCGGAUUUACUGGGUGUAAAGGGAGCGCAGGCGGUACGGCAAGUCUGAUGUGAAAGCCCGGGGCUCAACCCCGGUACUGCAUUGGAAACUGUCGAACUAGAGUGUCGGAGGGGUAAGUGGAAUUCCUAGUGUAGCGGUGAAAUGCGUAGAUAUUAGGAGGAACACCAGUGGCGAAGGCGACUUACUGGACGAUAACUGACGCUGAGGCUCGAAAGCGUGGGGAGCAAACAGGAUUAGAUACCCUGGUA